UACGUAGGUUGCAAGCGUUAUUCGGAUUUACUGGGCGUAAAGCGCACCGAGGUGGCUUCUUAAGUUGGAUGUAAAAUCUCCCGGCUUAACUGGGAGGCGCCAUUCAAUACUGAGGAGCUUGAGGUCAGCAGGGGAAGGUGGAAUUCCCGGUGUAGUGGUGGAAUGCGUAGAGAUCGGGAGGAACACCAGUGGCGAAAGCGACCUUCUGGGCUGCACCUGACACUCUAGUGCGAAAGCGUGGGGAGCAAAC
Molecule: ribosomal RNA, 250 nt
Filed under: uncultured bacterium
Lineage: Bacteria
Description: partial 16S ribosomal RNA
Rfam family: Bacterial small subunit ribosomal RNA
Source: RNAcentral